Triticum dicoccoides is the source of this 828-nucleotide long non-coding RNA. RefSeq lists it as uncharacterized. The record is from RefSeq and is a predicted model, not a curated record. The transcript is spliced from 4 exons. Lineage: Eukaryota; Viridiplantae; Streptophyta; Magnoliopsida; Poales; Poaceae.
CCGCCCCGCGCCACCCCCGCCGCCGGCCGCCCCGCCCCCACUGCCCCCGUACCUGCACCCACAUCUCCUCUCUGCUCUCCCGCGCCCUAGGGUUAGCCACCGCCGCCCUUAAUCCGGCGAGCUCCGGUGACCAUGGUCGGCGUGCAGCAUGCUACCGAGCUCACCACGCUCCGUUGCGUCGAUUCCUCCGGCCAGAUUCGUCCCUCCCCCCUCGAACGCUGGCGCCCAACCCAUCCCUCCGCGACUAGGGUUUGGUGCGCGGCCUCGUCUCUGCCACCGGCGUGCCUCUGGCGGUCCUCUACGCCUCAUCGCAUGGCUCCUCACGCGGCUGCGCCUGCUGGACGCUGCUUCUCCACCAAAAGGCAGUGGCAGAGGAGGGCCUUAUCCACCACCACGCAACGGCAGCCAAGAGAAAAGUAGUAGAAGGGGAUGAGGAAGGAGGAGAAAGACCAGAAGAAGGGCAAGGGAGGUGGGGCGAUCUGCAUGUCCAUGGAGCAGUAGGACGACGACGAGAGGACGAGUACCUCGACGGCGACGACAACUAGGAGGAUGAACCCACCCACAAGGGUGCCGAUGCUGGCCAUCAGAACGACGACUCUUCGUCCUGCACCACCUCACGCUGUGGCGGCUACAUGUUUGGUUCACUUCAUGGAAGGGCAGAAUGCUACUAUUUAGACGUUAGAUGUUUGAUGCAUUGGAUGUUUGUGAAACUAUGUAUAUAUGAAUUGGAUGUAUGAUGUUUGAUGUUUCAUGACGAUGGUGAAAUUAUGUUUGAUGUAUGAUGUUUGAAACUAUGUGAUUCUGAAUAUAUAUGAAAAUGGUCGUGUA